Molecule: long non-coding RNA, 806 nt
Organism: Drosophila mojavensis
Lineage: Eukaryota; Metazoa; Arthropoda; Insecta; Diptera; Drosophilidae
Exons: 3
Source: RefSeq, a predicted model, not a curated record
CAAAACAAAGUCUGCUGUGUAAUCAAAAACUUCUAUUUCACAUUUUAUUAUUUUAUUUUCAACUUGAUGAUAAAUGUUUUGUGGAAAUGUGGGCCCUAUCUGCACGACAAAGGCAUUCCUAAUUUCCAAUGCUGGGCUGUGCGAGAGAAUUUGUGAUCCAUAUCGCUAGGACAGGAUAUGAAUACAUUUCAAAAUAGACAUGCUGCGCUCGGUUGACGUCCGUUGUUAUUUUAACAUGCGCAUCUGUCAAAAUUAGCAUGUUUUAUUUUUUCCUUUUUGAUACGGUUCAUCUGAACUUUAACAAACUAAAUUUAAGCCAGCCGGUUUCUGCAUAGAGUUGUAUUUAUAUUAAGCGUGAAUCAAUGACUUAAGAACAUCAGUUGGCAAACAAAGCCAUAAUCAAACCAGAAAACUGUGAAUGCAACGAAAUUGAAAGUCCCCACAAAAGUCACCAAUGGCAAUCAGGUUUAGGCAAUAAAAUAAAUUAAUUGAGGUGGCUUCGCUGGAUGAGAGACAGUUGCAGCUUUUUAUGGAGGAAUCCAUGGACGGCAUCAAGCGCAUAAAAUUCCAACAUUUAGCACCAGCAACAGAGCCGCAGUUAAACAAUGAGACAGUAGUCAUUGAGCCGGCGAGCUGGUGAGCUGGGGAGCUGUGUGGCUGAGUUAAGCCUUUGGGGGGCUAUUGUAAUGCAAACAGAUCUCUUGCGCUCUCUGAAGUGGCCACCAUUUCUGUUUGCCAAACAUGGUGUAUGGAAGCCCAAAUGUUCAUGUUAAAAAAAUGGCUUUGUUUUGUCACUGUUCGCUCGA